Molecule: ribosomal RNA, 412 nt
Filed under: uncultured bacterium
Lineage: Bacteria
Description: bacterial SSU rRNA
Rfam family: Bacterial small subunit ribosomal RNA
Source: RNAcentral
AUUUUGGACAAUGGGCGAAAGCCUGAUCCAGCCAUGCCGCGUGAGUGAAGAAGGCCUUCGGGUUGUAAAGCUCUUUUAGUCGGAAAGAAAGAGUUGCAAUGAAUAAUUGUGAUUUAUGACGGUACCGACAGAAAAAGCACCGGCUAACUACGUGCCUGCAGCCGCGGUAAUACGUAGGGUGCGCGCGUUAAUCGGAAUUACUGGGCGUAAAGGGUGCGCAGGCGGUCUAGCAAGGCAGAUGUGAAAGCCCCGGGCUUAACCUGGGAAUUGCGUUUGAAACUACAAGACAAGAGUGCAGCAGAGGGGAGUGGAAUUCCAUGUGUAGCAGUGAAAUGCGUAGAGAUGUGGAAGAACACUGAUGGCAAAGGCAGCUCCCUGGGUUGACACUGACGCUCAUGCACGAAAGCGUGGG